RNAcentral lists this ribosomal RNA (472 nucleotides) under uncultured bacterium. RNAcentral describes it as "bacterial SSU rRNA". It matches the Rfam family "Bacterial small subunit ribosomal RNA", at positions 355 to 825 of the family's 1533-position model. The record is from RNAcentral.
UGGGGAAUAUUGGACAAUGGGGGAAACCCUGAUCCAGCGACGCCGCGUGUGUGAAGAAGGCCUGCGGGUUGUAAAGCACUUUCGGUGGGAACGAAAUAUGCCGGGCUAAUACCCCGGUAGGCUGACGUUACUCAAUGAAGAAGCACCGGCUAACUCUGUGCCAGCAGCCGCGGUAAUACAGAGGGUGCGAGCGUUAAUCGGAAUUACUGGGCGUAAAGCGCACGUAGGUGGCGACGUAAGUCGGGUGUGAAAGCCCCGGGCUCAACCUGGGAACCGCAUUCGAGACUGCGUUGCUGGAGUACGGAAGAGGAGGGCGGAAUUCCCGGUGUAGCGGUGAAAUGCGUAGAUAUCGGGAGGAACAUCAGUGGCGAAGGCGGCCCUCUGGUCCAGUACUGACACUCAAGUGCGAAAGCGUGGGGAGCAAACAGGAUUAGAUACCCAUGUAGUCCCUGAGCGGGCUGGCAAGGCGCAU